Non-coding RNA from Camelina sativa (false flax), 140 nucleotides. The record is from RefSeq and is a predicted model, not a curated record. NCBI's taxonomy places the organism in Eukaryota, Viridiplantae, Streptophyta, Magnoliopsida, Brassicales, Brassicaceae.
GCCAAAGUUUGUGCACGACUUAUUGGUCUUUCGGUCCACCGUUCACCUUUAGUUCUCAUUCCCGCUCUUCGCACCAUUGGAAAUAUUGUAACUGGAAAUGAUAGUCAAACUCAGCAUAUCAUUGAUCUUCAAGCGCUCCC